AAGAGAGGCUCGCUAGCAACGAACACUGCUAAUAUUCGUCCCCUUGGUUGGACUCCAGGGCUCCCUCA
This 68-nucleotide transfer RNA is filed under the name Pristipomoides sieboldii (lavender jobfish). Its description in RNAcentral is "tRNA-Ser". Lineage: Eukaryota; Metazoa; Chordata; Actinopteri; Lutjaniformes; Lutjanidae. RNAcentral also lists the same sequence under 1 other name. The record is from RNAcentral.